AACAUUUUUGCAGCAUAUCGGUUUACACCAACUGUUCUCAAAUUUCUUCAUAGAUGUCAACCGUUGAACACAACUAAACUUCUAUAUUAGUUAAUAACUAGCUAAGAUAGUUCACCAAUUUCCAGACAUUCCUAAUUGUUUUAAUCCAUACUCUACAUAUUAGCAUAUCAUGUCUUGUUAGCUUAGUUCCGGUCCAUGUCGCCGAGUCGUCGUGUACAGAGAAGCGAUAGAUUAGGAAAUUCCAGUGGAUUCUCAUCAAAAUCAAAUCUAUACAGAGAGGCGAGACAGAGACGCCGCGUGUGGCAGCCCAUGGAGAGGCCCCUCUCCUGCUCUGGGCAGCGCGAGGUCCGCGGAUCCGGCGGCGGUGGAGGACCGGCGGCCAGCAGGGCCCCCUUCUCGGCGUAUCGUUGCGCGGCCUCCUCCGGCGAGGCUUUGGCAUCCGCGACGGCCUCCCCAUCACCGGCGGCAGAAGAGGGGCGCGGCGGCGGCAUCCGGCCAGGCGCGAUGAAUCCCCUCCGACGCGCGUCGCCGCCGUCGCGACCCCUUCCCCGUCGCUCAUUCCUCCAGGUCAGGGCUAGGGUUUGGCCGGCGACGCCCCUUGGCGGCGUCGGUGGCGGCUGCCCCCUCCGGCCUCCUCCUCCCAAGCGCACGCGUGUCCGGCGGCGGCCGACUGAUCCCCUGGCCGGUGGCUCCCUCAUCGCGAGCGCAGGCCCAGGACUGGCGGCGAUUGAAUUGGGACCAGCAAAGAAGCAAGUUGAUACUGAUGAACUUCAAAAGACCAAACAGAUGCUUGAAAAAGCUAAGCAAGAAGUCAGACAUAAGGAUGACUCUUUGAGAAAGCUACAAGGGAAAGAUCAACUGUGCAAAAACUUGCAAGAAAAGGUAAAAGAGCUUGAUGGUCAGAUAGGUUCCAAGACACAUUCUCAAAUGACAUCAGAGAAGUAGUUACAAUUGUUUACAUGCUACAAGCACGAACAGUUAUUGUUGUAGUUACGUAAUUAGGAAACUUGAAAUUUCUGUGUACCCCUCCUUUUCAGAUUGUGGAGUUAGAGUGCAAGAUUACACAGACGCACCAAUCAGAAUAUGAGAUUGCAUUUCUGAAGCAAAUGAUAAUUUACAAGUAGUUAUCAAUGAUAUUUAGUAGCAUGCUUUGAUUGGUUUUAUAUGUUUCUUUCCUUUCCUCAGAUGAAAAAUCUGGAGCUCAAGUCGAAGGAACAUAUACAAUCACUUGAGUUGAAGAACAAAGACCUGGAGCUCAGGUUGAAAGAAAAAGAAGACCAGCAAUCUGUUGCGGAAUUAAAGAACUCGGAGCUGGAGCCCAAGUUGAAGGAACUAGAACACUAGCGGAACAAAGAGGUGGAGCUCAAGUUCCUGAGGAGCUCAAAUUCCCUGAACAUGCAGCAGCCUUUAAUUCCUGAGGCUGCUGAAGCAGUGGUGAACGAGAAGAAGAGAAAAGGUGAUGCAAGGAACGCAUCCAUCGUUGGUGAACAAGAGAGCAAGAGGCUAAAGAAAACAGCAGCCGAGCCUCCUUGGGUUGUGAAGAAUUUGGAAAGGUCAAAAGCAUUGUCAAGGGCUGCUGCCGCUGCCGCUGCUACACACAAGGUGUUGCCUACUCCCAGGUCACUGGCUCUUAAUAAGCUAAAUAAAAUGUGACCUUGAGAACAAAUAAUAAGGUCAAAGCAGAAAUAACUACAUUAAAUUUAGAGUGCUGGAACAGUUUGUCAGUUUAAUGUGCCCUUAUGAGCACGACUAUGUACUUGACUGAAGCAACUUUGAUACGCUUCCUGAAUGUAGUGGUGUAGCAUUGCAACUUCUGCAUCCUGAAUGUAGCUAAUCAUAUCGGAGAAGGGGAAACUGUAGUACAUGACGUAUCGGGGGCGGAGCCAGGAAUUUGUUUUUUUCAUUAUUAGGGGGGGCCAACCAUGCUAAUUUAUAUAAAAAUUUAAUCAAAAUUCAAAUUUUCAAUAUAAAUUUGGGAGCCAUAGGGGGGGCCAGGCCCCUGCCCGCCCCCCUGUCUACGCCCCUGCGUGUCGACGUGAAGCUCUCAUGCUAAGGUGUAUGUUCCAGUUGCAUGAUUUGAGGCCUUGCCUUUCAUGAUGGCCAUGGAGGUAAGUCCCAAUCGUUUCCUAUCAAGGUUAUGAUUUAUUACUAGAUAAAUCUGCAUUGGUUUUAGUCUCCCUGAGAAUAUGUUACACUGGAUUUUUUGAUGUAGAAAAAUGUUCACCCAUUUGCUGGCUUUGUUUCUUAGUUAUAUAGAUGUCGGUUAUGAUUUUUUCUUUCCUGGUUCUUAUCUAGAGUAUAUUUUUUAAAAUUGUACUGCAAAGACGAUCAAGGGAAAAAGGAGAACUCAGAAGUUUUCAUGGGGAAAAAUUAACCUCAAUUAAGUCAUGGUGUGGCUGCAAAUGUUCUUGAUGGCUCGCUUACCAUGUUUUUGUCGAAAUGCCUGUCACUAUGUGGUUGAGAAAGAACAUUGUGUGGUCAAAAGCAAGUUCAUAUAUUUUACUUACCAAUAUUCUUUUGACAAGUAAUUCCUAUUGCCUGGUGCUCAUCUGAUCUCCACUAACAUGCCAAACCUGUUUGGGCACAACACCCAGGUGAGAAACACUGUUCCUUUGUUUCAAUUUUAAUCACUUGAGGAGCACUUCUUUUUGAGAUAUAUCUCGGUUCCUGUUAUUUGUAGUAGGUAGAUUUUGGUGGUGUACACAUCAACUGUUAGUGUAUGGCUUGCCAAAUUACAGGACCAGCUGGUACCCGCCCGCACACGCAUGCACAAAUUAUAGGGCCGGGCAUUUCCUCAGCAUCCCAUCAAUCUUUCCUGCACCGCACACAUCCUAUUGUGAUCAACUCCACACUGUUCCUUUGGAUUGCUAUGCCUGGAACAAAAUGCUAUUCUAUAAAGUCACUAUGCUAUUGUUGGGCUGUCUCCUAAUUUUUGCACCUGACUAUGACUAUUUGGCCAGGUUCAUCCUGAUGGUUGCAAAAUCAAGCCUGAAGUACACACAGUGGAGUGAUGUCUCAGUAAGCUAUGUUUAAAGAGAAUGUUUUGGAGUUUGGAACACAUCUUUUAAUGUAUAUCUAUUUCUUUUUCAAUGAACAUUAGUUUGGCAGUAUUAGUUAGUUUAUUAUACUAAUAUAAUAUGUUCUGAGUAUGAAGAUGUAAGCACAUGGUUUUUUGGUGUUGGAGUUUGGGGCUGUAUUAUGCAUCGAGAGAUGAAAUGAUAAAAUGAGAAACCUUAAGUGAAUAAUGUGGAGGCAAUUAUAAUAAGCAAAAGAGUUUAUUUUUA
Panicum virgatum (switchgrass) is the source of this 3284-nucleotide RNA transcript. RefSeq lists it as uncharacterized. The record is from RefSeq and is a predicted model, not a curated record. NCBI's taxonomy places the organism in Eukaryota, Viridiplantae, Streptophyta, Magnoliopsida, Poales, Poaceae. The transcript has 5 exons.